This 301-nucleotide ribosomal RNA is filed under the name uncultured bacterium. RNAcentral describes it as "partial 16S ribosomal RNA". It matches the Rfam family "Bacterial small subunit ribosomal RNA", at positions 509 to 807 of the family's 1533-position model. The record is from RNAcentral.
CAGUAGCCGCGGUAAUACGAAGGGGGCUAGCGUUGUUCGGAAUUACUGGGCGUAAAGCGCACGUAGGCGGAUUGUUAAGUUAGGGGUGAAAUCCCAGGGCUCAACCCUGGAACUGCCUUUAAUACUGGCAAUCUCGAGUCCGAGAGAGGUGAGUGGAAUUCCGAGUGUAGAGGUGAAAUUCGUAGAUAUUCGGAGGAACACCAGUGGCGAAGGCGGCUCACUGGCUCGGUACUGACGCUGAGGUGCGAAAGCGUGGGGAGCAAACAGGAUUAGAUACUCCAGUAGUCCCUGUCUCUUAUAC